RNAcentral lists this long non-coding RNA (6087 nucleotides) under Triticum aestivum (bread wheat). Its description in RNAcentral is "long non-coding RNA (TAES_LNC019214)". Lineage: Eukaryota; Viridiplantae; Streptophyta; Magnoliopsida; Poales; Poaceae. The record is from RNAcentral.
CUAGCAUGGAGAUGGUGGAGAAGCUAUCUCUCACCACAAGACCACAUCCACAUCCUUACUACAUCCAAUGGUUCAACAACAGCGGCAAGGUGAAGGUAACACGUACUGUUCGUGUGCAUUUUAGUAUCUCUACAUAUGCUGAUUAUGUUGAUUGUGAUGUGGUACCUAUGCAAGCAUGUUCCUUAUUACUUGGUAGACCAUGGAAAUUUGAUAAAAAUUAUGUACACCAUGGUCGAAACAAUCAGUAUACUCUUGUUCAUAAGGAUAAAAAUAUUACUUUGCUUCCUAUGACUCCCGACUCCAUUUUGAAAGAUGAUAUUAAUAGAGCUAAUAAAGCAAAACAGGAGAAAAAUAAGAGUGAAAAUCAGAUUGUGGCAAAAGAAUUUGAGCAACAAAUGAAGCCUAAUAAUAAAUCAUGUAGUGUUGCUUCUGAAAUUAAAUUGAAAAGUGAAUGUUUACUUGCCACCCAAUUUGAUAUUGAUGAUAUAGAUUUCAGCAAAUCUGUUUGCUAUGCUUUUGUGUGCAAAGAGGCAUUAUUUUAUUUCGUGGAUGUACCUUGCUCUUUGCCUGGCAAACAUGGACUGAUGACUACUUGAUAGUUUAGUAUUCCAUGCUUUACGUCUUAGAACCAGGGCUCCAAAAGCAUUUUGAGCACCACAGAGCAUAUGAGAUGUUCCAAGAGCUAAAAUUGAUAUUUCAAGAUAAUGCCUGGGUUGAGAGAUAUGAAGUCUCCAACAAGUUCUAUCGCUGUAAGAUGGAGGAGAACAGUUUUGUCAGUGAACACAUACUCAAAAUGUUUGGGUAUCAUAACCACUUGUCUCAGCUGGGAAUUGAUCUACUAGUUGAGAGUGUUAUUGAAAGAGUUCUUCAGUCACUGCCACCAAGCUAUAAAGGCUUCGUGAUGAACUAUAAUGUGCAAGGGAUGACAAAAAACGAUUCCCGAGCUCUUUGCGAUGCUGAAAUCGGCAGAGGUAGAAAUCAUGAAGGAGCAUCAAGUGAGGAUGGUUAACAAGACCACUAGUUUCAAGAAAAAGGGAAAGGGAAAGAAAGGGAACUUCAAGAAGAACGACAAGCAAGUAGCCUCUCCCGUGAAGAAACCCAAAGCUGGACCCAAGCCUGAACCUGAGUGCUUCUAAUGCAAGUGAAAUGGUCACUAGAAGCGGAACUGCCCCAAAUAAUUGGCAGAUAAAAAUGAUGACAAAGUGAACAAAGGUAUAUUUGAUAUACAUGUUAUUGAUGUGUACCUUACUAAUGCUCGUAGUAGCGCCCGGGUAUUUGAUACUGGUUCGGUUGCUCAUAUUUAUAACUGGAAACAAGAGCUAUGGAAUAAAUGAAGAUUGGCUAAGGAUGAGGGGACGAUGCGCGUCAGGAAUGGUUCCAAGGUCGAUGUGAUCGCUGUCGACACACUACCUCUACAUCUACCUUCGGGAUUAGUUUUAGACCUCAAUAAUUGUUAUUUGGUGCCAGCGUUGAGCAUGAACAUUAUAUCUGGAUCUUUUUUAUUGCGAGAUGGUUAUUCAUUUAAGUCAGAGAAUAAUGGUUCUUCUAGAGUAAUAUCUUUUAUGGUCAUGCACCCUUGAUGAAUGGCCUAUUCCUGUUGAAUCUCGACCUAGUGAUACACAUAUUCAUAAUACUGAUGCCAAAAGAUGCAAAGUUGAUAAUGAUUGUGCAACAUACUUGUGGCACUGUUGUUUAGGUCAUAUUGGUGUAAAGCGCAUGAAGAAACUCCAUGAAUAUAUUUGAUAUACAUGUUAUUGAUGUGUACCUUACUAAUGCUCGUAGUAGCGCCCGGGUAUUUGAUAUUGGUUUGGUUGCUCAUAUUUAUAACUCGAAACAAGAGCUAUGGAAUAAACGAAAAUUGGCUAAGGACGAGGGGACGAUGCGCGUCAGGAAUGGUUCCAAGGUCGAUGUGAUCGCCGUCGACACACUACCUCUACAUCUACCUUCGGGAUUAGUUUUAGACCUCAAUAAUUGUUAUUUGGUGCCAGCAUUGAGCAUGAACAUGAUAUCUGGAUCUUGUUUAUUGCGAGAUGGUUAUUCAUUUAAGUCAGAGAAUAAUGGUUGUUCUAGAGUAAUAUCUUUUAUGGUCAUGCACCCUUGAUGAAUGGCCUAUUCCUGUUGAAUCUCGACCUAGUGAUACACAUAUUCAUAAUACUGAUGCCAAAAGAUGCAAAGUUGAUAAUGAUUGUGGAACAUACUUGUGGCACUGUCAUUUUGGUCAUAUUAGUGUAAAGCGCAUGAAGAAACUCCAUGAUGAGGACAUCAAUACCAUUGUUACACCCACAACUCCUGCUGCUAUACAUAUUGGACCAAUCACUAGAGCUCGCACACGCCAAUUGAAUUACCAGGUACUUUCAUUUCUUAGUAAUGAUUCUAACGUUCAUGAGAAUAUGAUGCUGCCUAAAUUGGAUACAUUUGUUCUGCUUACAAAUGAAGGUCCUAGCUUGGACAACAAAGAUGAACCUUGGAGCAAGUUCAAGCAUGGAGAUGAUGGCAUGCACAAGGGGAACAAGAAUGGAGUUACAAGUGAUGAUGCUAGGACUUUGAAGCCACCAUAAUGAGUGCAUGAAGCCUUGGACGAAAUAUACAACAUGCCACUUCAUAAAUUUCGUCCAGAGGCUAUUCUAGGUGCCGCGUCACCUUAUUUUUGGGCCAGGCCCAUGUAAUUUCGAAAUACUUGAUUAUAGGCUGUUUUUAGAGUCCGUAUGUGUGGGGAAUCAAGAGUUAGGGUUGGUUUCGGACCCCUCCUCCAAGUGCCACGAAAUUCCCCCUCUAUCCUCCAUAUAUACAGCCCUUAGGGCAUCAUUUAUACUUUGGGUUUUGUUUAGAUUAGAAGUUCGCCAUAGCUUCAACUUCGCGUACUUCGUUUGUGUCCACCGACCAGACCAAGACGUCACAGAACCCCACCUUCAUUAAUAAAGCUUUCCUCUUUUAUUCGCAAUAUCUAGAUUGUAAUCUCAGUUUCUUGCUUGUUCUUUGUUUGCUCAUGGGAAAUAGACCCUCGUGGUCAGGUUGAUCAUGCUCCGGCGUGGUCAAUAACCCCUCGGAAGUUGGUUUAGCGAUUGCUAAGGCGCGACGUCUUCGCACGUUCGUAGUCGGAUCAUCAAAGUCGACUUCCACAAAAAAUGAUAGCUAUCUCAUUGAAACAUCGGGACACCUUUGCCUCUAUCAAGUGGUAUCAGAUUUCCAGGUUGCUCGGCGAGAUUUUACAGUUUUUCGUAGUUUAGAUAGAGUCUGUUCUUCAUACCAACAGUCCACGAAAAAGCCAAAAAAAUUAGGGUUAGUUCAUCAUAUCCGAACCAAUCUGAGUCUUUGCAUAAUCUUUUUAGGGUUUUGCAUUGUUGAAUUUGUGGUUGCAUCGCCGUGUCUAGUUGCUGGUCUUUGUGUCUAGUCCUUUAGAGUUUCGAGUUCUCUUCACAAGUUGUCACACCGCCGCCGCACCAUCAUCAUCUCCGCUGCCAUACACCACCAUCGUCAUCGCCGUUGCCAUAUACCACAUAUCCACCGCCAUCACGAUAAUUCGAGUCCACCUCCAUCACAGAUUCGCCACCAGUCCGUGUUCCACCACCCUACAUAUAUCCGCCACCAGUCCGAGUUUUCACCAGUUUCAUCUCCGCCACCAGUCCGAGUCCAAUAUUUGUGUCUUUGUGUUUGAUUUCCAGAUCAUGCCAUACUCCGAGUCUUGACAGAUUAGGACUCCCCAAUUUCCAUGCCACCCGCAAUAGAAAAGUGUUUCUAGUUUCAAAAAAAAAUUAAGUCUGGAAAAUUCUGGCUAGGUAAUUUUUAGACCAUUUGUAGACUUCUUCAAAAAAAAUUUGUUGUGGAUCAAACAUAAAAGAGAGGAAAAAAGUGCAAAAAAGUGAAAAAGGAGAAAAAAAUUCAGAGUGUGCUCCUGCCUUGUUUACGUGCAGCGCUGUGCUUUUGUUAGUGUUCUAGGCUCGCGUCUCUAGCACGGUCUAGCCUAGGACCAGCACAGUACCGUCGUUGAGCAUUUAUUCAAUUUUGCAUCUCUUUAUUGAUUAUUGCUGACCCUUUUUUCUGCCAUAUUAUAAGCGUUCCCAGCUCCACAACGUCUACGUCAUGCGUUUGACUCUCCCUGGUAAUCUCUCUAUCCAAGCUUUGAGAGUUUUGACUACAACGGUUGCCGAUCACCAUCCGCCGCUUGGUAAGAACUGAUAAGAAUUUGAGAUCUGCUUGACGGAUUUGUGACACACUGCCACUUUCUAGUAGUCUGUAGGAUCAUAUUCUUGUGUGUUUAUAUUGCUGUAACCAUGGUAGGACCACAAGCCGACGAGAUUGAUUGGGAGAACAUGACGAAUAAGGAGCUUCAUGAUAAAUUUCAGCAAAUGUUGAGUCAACAGGUAGAAGACGUCAUGACCACCUUCGAAAAGGCACUAGAGAGGAUUGAUGACAUUGAGAAGACAAUUGACACCAAGUUGGACGCCAAGUUCGAUGAAGUACUCGCGCGUCUUCCACAACCACCGCCCGCUGCACCUGUCGCACCUCUACAUCAACAACAACACCACCAACAACAUCGCCUUCCAAAUCAAGUGGGACGAGCAUUGCGCGUUGCCCUUGAGCUUGGUCAAAAUUUUGGUGCCGAUGUACCUACUGUUGAUGCUUCUGUAGCUCCUGCUGCUACUCCAGAGGUGGAGGACCAUUACGAGGAUGAGGUUGAUCAAUAUCAGAACUACAUGCAACCACUAGCACCACCGCCACCAGGUCGUCCUCAUGCAUAUCAUCACAACGGUAGGGCUACUCCACCACCUGAGGUACGAGAUCAUGACCAUCUUCCUAAACUGAAAUUGAAUAUUCCACCAUUUGAGGGUAGAUGUGUUCCUGAUAUAUAUCUUACUUGGGAGUUAGAAACUGAACAACGUUUUAAAUGUUUACAAUAUCCCGAGGAGAGACGUGUUCCUGCUGCUGUUUGUCCUUUCACUAGUUUUGCAUGUGUUUGGUGGUCUGAACAUUGUAGAUUAUAUCCUAUUCCGGCUACUUGGGCUGCUUUGAAAAAUGCUAUGCGUACUCGCUGGGUUCCACCAUAUUAUCAACGUGAAUUGCUUCAAAAAUUGCAGCGUUUGAGACAAGGAAAAAAUUCUAUAGAAGAAAAUUAUCAGGAAUUACAAACUGGUAUGAUUAGAUGUGGUAUUGUUGAGGAUAAUGAAGCUAUGCUUGCACGUUUUAUGGGUGGAUUAAAUAAAGAGAUUCAGACCAUUCUAGAGUAUAAUGAAUAUAAUAAUAGCACUCAUUUAUUCCAUCUUGCUUGCAAAGCUGAACGUGAAGUGCACGAUCGACACGCAUUGGCGCGAACUAACUUUUCUGCUGGUCGACCUUCAUCAUGGACACCGUGUGCAUCCUCGACUUCCACAUGUUCUGCUGCAUGGCGCCUCCGUCAGCUGCCACCGCCAACCAUGAUACAAGAAAGUAGGCACAACCACCACUAUCUGCCAAGAGCACACCUUCGGGGCCUGCACAGAGCUCUUCUUCAUCCAUGACAUCAACAUGGCAAACACAUGAUAUUAUUUGUCGUUGUUGCAAGGGUGGAGGUCAUUAUGCGAGAGAAUUCCCAUCUAAGCGUGUGAUGAUUGUUACUGAGGAUGGUAGGUAUGAGUCCGCUAGUGACUAUGAUGAGGAGACUUUGGCUCUUAUUACAAGUGAAGAACACGGUGGAGAUGAUUCUGAUCAUGAGACACAAUAUAUGGCUUCUAAAGAUGCUGGCAGGUAUGAAUGUCUAGUUGCUCAACGUGUUUUGAGUGUGUAGGUUACACAAGCUGAGCAAAAUCAGAGGCAUAAUUUGUUCCACACAAAGGGAGUUGUGAAGGAACAUUCUGUUCGCGUCAUCAUAGAUGGAGGGAGCUGCAAUAACUUGGCUAGCAUGGAGAUGGUGGAGAAGCUAUCUCUCACCACAAGACCACAUCCACAUCCUUACUACAUCCAAUGGUUCAACAACAACGGCAAGGUUAAGGUAACACGUAUUGUUCGUGUGCAUUUUAGUAUCUCUACAUAUGUUGAUUAUGUUGAUUGGGAUGUGGUACCUAUGCAAGCAUGUUCCUUAUUACUUGGUAGACCAUGGCAAUUUGAUAAAAA